AAGACUAUAGACCUGCGGAGUACCUGCGGAGGGAUCAUUAAUGAGAAACUGCCCCUCGCGGGUAGAUCUCCCACCCUUUGUAAACUUACCUUUGUUGCUUUGGCAGGCCCGUCUCCGGACCGCCGGCUUCGGCUGGCCAGUGCCUGCCAGAGGAUUCUAAAACUCUGUCUGUCAGUGUUGUCUGAGUCUAUAUACAAUCGUUAAAACUUUCAGCAAUGGAUCUCUAGAUCGGAAGAGCAC
This 240-nucleotide unclassified non-coding RNA is filed under the name soil metagenome. RNAcentral's name for it is "partial contains 5.8S ribosomal RNA, internal transcribed spacer 2, and large subunit ribosomal RNA". The record is from RNAcentral.